RNAcentral lists this ribosomal RNA (207 nucleotides) under uncultured bacterium. RNAcentral describes it as "partial 16S ribosomal RNA". It matches the Rfam family "Bacterial small subunit ribosomal RNA", at positions 568 to 774 of the family's 1533-position model. The record is from RNAcentral.
CACGUAGGCGGCCAUUCAAGUCAGAGGUGAAAGCCCGGGGCUCAACCCCGGAACUGCCUCUGAAACUAGAUGGCUUGAAUCUUGGAGAGGCGAGUGGAAUUCCGAGUGUAGAGGUGAAAUUCGUAGAUAUUCGGAAGAACACCAGUGGCGAAGGCGACUCGCUGGACAAGUAUUGACACUCAGAGACGAAAGCUAGGGGAGCAAACA